CCUACGGGGGGCAGCAGUGAGGAAUAUUGGUCAAUGGACGAGAGUCUGAACCAGCCAAGUAGCGUGAAGGAUGACUGCCCUAUGGGUUGUAAACUUCUUUUAUAUGGGAAUAAAAUGUUCCACGUGUGGGAUUUUGUAUGUACCAUAUGAAUAAGGAUCGGCUAACUCCGUGCCAGCAGCCGCGGUAAUACGGAGGAUCCGAGCGUUAUCCGGAUUUAUUGGGUUUAAAGGGAGCGUAGGUGGAUUGUUAAGUCAGUUGUGAAAGUUUGCGGCUCAACCGUAAAAUUGCAGUUGAAACUGGCAGUCUUGAGUACAGUAGAGGUGGGCGGAAUUCGUGGUGUAGCGGUGAAAUGCUUAGAUAUCACGAAGAACUCCGAUUGCGAAGGCAGUUCACUGGACUGCAACUGACACUGAGGCUCGAAAGUGUGGGUAUCAAACAGGAUUAGAUACCCGGGUC
This 457-nucleotide ribosomal RNA is filed under the name uncultured bacterium. Its description in RNAcentral is "partial 16S ribosomal RNA". It matches the Rfam family "Bacterial small subunit ribosomal RNA", at positions 338 to 792 of the family's 1533-position model. The record is from RNAcentral.